CAUGUAGGGGGCGAGCGUUGUCCGGAAUCACUGGGCGUAAAGGGCGCGUAGGUGGCGACCCAAGUCAGUGGUGAAAGCUCGCCGCUUAACGGCGAGUCGGCCACUGAUACUGGGUUGCUCGAGCACUGUAGAGGCUAAUGGAAUUCCGGGUGUAGCGGUGGAAUGCGUAGAGAUCCGGAAGAACACCGGUGGCGAAGGCGGUUAGCUGGGCAGUUGCUGACACUGAGGCGCGACAGCGUGGGGAGCAAACAGG
RNAcentral lists this ribosomal RNA (253 nucleotides) under uncultured bacterium. RNAcentral's name for it is "partial 16S ribosomal RNA". It matches the Rfam family "Bacterial small subunit ribosomal RNA", at positions 524 to 776 of the family's 1533-position model. The record is from RNAcentral.